GAUGAAGAACGCAGCGAAAUGCGAUAAGUAAUGUGAAUUGCAGAAUUCAGUGAAUCAUCGAAUCUUUGAACGCACAUUGCGCCCGCCAGUAUUCUGGCGGGCAUGCCUGUUCGAGCGUCAUUUCAACCAUCAAGCCCCAGGCUUGUGUUGGGGACCUGCGGCUGCCGCAGGCCCUGAAAACCAGUGGCGGGCUCGCUGUCACACCGGGCGUAGUAGAUUUUAUCUCGCUCAGGGCGUGCUGCGGGUUCCGGCCGUUAAAAAGCCUUUUUUACCCAAGGUUGACCUCGGAUCAGGUAGGAAGACCCGCUGAACUUAAGCAUAUCAAUAAGCGGGAGGA
RNAcentral lists this unclassified non-coding RNA (337 nucleotides) under soil metagenome. RNAcentral's name for it is "partial contains 5.8S ribosomal RNA, internal transcribed spacer 2, and large subunit ribosomal RNA". The stretch from base 1 to 120 matches the Rfam family "5.8S ribosomal RNA", at positions 35 to 154 of the family's 154-position model. The record is from RNAcentral.